RNAcentral lists this small RNA (130 nucleotides) under Marmota monax (woodchuck). The record is from RNAcentral. Lineage: Eukaryota; Metazoa; Chordata; Mammalia; Rodentia; Sciuridae.
GCUGGAUGUGGUAGUGCACUCACUCCUGUAAUCCAGCAGCUUGGGAGGCCGAGGCAGGUGGAUCAUGAGUUCAGAGCCAGCCUAAGCAAUUUAGUGAGACCCUGAGCAACAAAGAGAGACCCUGUCUCUA